RNAcentral lists this long non-coding RNA (962 nucleotides) under Brachypodium distachyon (stiff brome). RNAcentral's name for it is "long non-coding RNA (BDIS_LNC004126)". The record is from RNAcentral. Lineage: Eukaryota; Viridiplantae; Streptophyta; Magnoliopsida; Poales; Poaceae.
GAGUCCUCCGCCCUUCGCGCCCUCCUCCCUGCUUCGUGCCGUCGACGCCGGCCAUCGUCACAUCCGCCUCCACGCGCCGCCGACCCGGUUGGAUCCGGCCUCCCCCGCCGCCACCCGCCGCGCACUGCCGCCGGUUCCGGCCGCCGGUACCCUCUCUCCCGCCGGUAAGUCUCUCUCUCUCUGUGAUUGAUUUCUCGGCCGUUUGUUCCAGGGACGGAUUCGGCGUUCCCCGGCCUCUACAUCGCCGGAUUCGGCCUCCCCCCACCUCGACGCGCGGAUCUGGCGUUCCCUGCCCUUGACCAAGGAGCCGCUGCCAUGGAGGGAGGCGCUCUCCUCUGCCGCCAUACUGCCAUGGAGGGCGAUGUGGCUGGAUCAGGCUAUGGAGAGCUUCGGCUUUUUUUUCGUGAUUUUUUUGCGAUUUUUUCCUGCUGUAAUCCAUGAUCUGGGAUGCUUAUUAAUCUGUGAUUUGCGAUAUGUUCUGGUCGGCAAUGAUGAAAAUAUGCAGGCCUGGCGAUCUAUGAUUUGUGAAAUUCGCAGGCCACGGGCCUGCUUUUCUUUCUGUUUGCAGCCAGCUAGCUAAGGUAGGCCGAUGGAUGGAGACCGUGAAGCGAACCCCCAUUCAGGGCAACACAGCGAAACUUGUCUCUGGUUGCGUGCUUGCUUGCAUUUGCAUCCUCGAUCAUGGAUGAUUUGUUUGUAGCCAGCACCACCGCCAAGAAACGCCAAACAUUUGGGUAUGCACUUUUGGCCUAAAUAAACACACGCUUAUAAUUGGAACACAUAAGCAAAAAUGAGCAACUCUUCUCUGCGUACUUUUUUUUUGGUCAUGUAUGAUUUUUUGAUCAAAAAGCCUAACUAAACGGGUGCAUCUCGAAGGACAUUAAGCUAGAGGUGAAGCUGGUCGCCGGAGCGAUAGCUAAAUGCUCAAGAGAAAAUCAAUAUUUUUUUUGCCGAAUGUGACA